GACGAACGCUGGCGGCGUGCUUAACACAUGCAAGUCGAACGGAAAGGCCUGCUUUCCCUUGUGGAUUGCGGGUACUCGAGUGGCGAACGGGUGAGUAACACGUGAGUGAUCUGCCCCCAACUUGGGUAUAAGCCUGGGAAACUGGGUCUAAUUCCCGAUAGGACUGCAGGGUGGUGCCUGUGGUGGAAAACGAUUUUCUAGUGGUUGGGGAUGAGCUCGCGGCCUAUCAGCUUGUUGGUGGGGUAAUGGCCUACCAAGGCGGCGACGGGUAGCCGGGCUGGAGGGGUGGACGGGCACAUUGGGAGUGAGAAACGGGCCAGAGUCCUACGGGAGGCAGCAGUGGGGAAUAUUGCACAAUGGGCGGAAGCCUGAUGCAGCGACGCCGCGUGGGGGAUGACGGCCUUCGGGUUGUAAACUCCUUUCGACCGCGAGGAAGCCACCUGGUUGGAAGGGUGGUGACGGUAGUGGUAGAAGAAGCACCGGCUAACUACGUG
This 494-nucleotide ribosomal RNA is filed under the name uncultured bacterium. RNAcentral describes it as "partial 16S ribosomal RNA". It matches the Rfam family "Bacterial small subunit ribosomal RNA", at positions 28 to 507 of the family's 1533-position model. The record is from RNAcentral.